RNAcentral lists this ribosomal RNA (253 nucleotides) under uncultured bacterium. RNAcentral describes it as "partial 16S ribosomal RNA". It matches the Rfam family "Bacterial small subunit ribosomal RNA", at positions 524 to 776 of the family's 1533-position model. The record is from RNAcentral.
UACGUAGGGGGCAAGCGUUGUCCGGAUUUAUUGGGCGUAAAGAGCGUGUAGGCGGCUUUACAGGUCCGUUGUGAAAACUCGAGGCUCAACCUCGAGACGCCGGUGGAAACCGUAAGGCUAGAGUCCGGAAGAGGAGAGUGGAAUUCCUGGUGUAGCGGUGAAAUGCGCAGAUAUCAGGAGGAACACCCGUGGCGAAAGCGGCUCUCUGGGACGGUACUGACGCUGAGGCGCGAAAGCUAGGGGAGCAAACAGG